This is a long non-coding RNA of Perognathus longimembris pacificus (Pacific pocket mouse), 570 nucleotides long. RefSeq lists it as uncharacterized. The transcript has 3 exons. NCBI's taxonomy places the organism in Eukaryota, Metazoa, Chordata, Mammalia, Rodentia, Heteromyidae. The record is from RefSeq and is a predicted model, not a curated record.
GAUUUGAACCACAAUCUUUAGAUCUUAGCUUUCUGAGUAGCUACAAUUAUAAGCAUGAACCAUUAUUGACUGGCUAUUCAGUAUUUCCUUGUUGGCCUUAGGGUCUUUGCAAAGUGAGAAAUGAAUUUCCUGCCUCUAGUUUUAUUUUGCUCUCGUAUAAUGUCCUUUUCAAGGUACAUUUCCAAGGCACUGUGCAUAUGUCAAUAAAUAUGUCUUUCCAUGGCUCCCAAACAUGAAUGUCUUCUGUUGGAACUCAUGUACUUGUCCUUUCUUUUGGAAGAUUUAAUAAAAUGGAAAUGGCAUAUGUUCUUGUGAUCUACUUGAAUUGUGUUAGAAUUAUCUAAUUAAUUGUGGGAAGUGAGAAAUGCCUUAAUAGCGUUCUAACCAAACCCAUCUUUCUUACUGAAAAGAAUUUUGAAAUUGAAGAAGCCAGGCGUACCUCUGAAGGCCAAUGCCUGUCACACACCAUUUGAAGAAAAUAGCAGGUAUUACAUAGAAUCGAUGAAUACUAUCAGAUGAAACUUGGAUAAUUCCAAAGAAUUAUCCAAGGCUAGAGUAUAGUUCAGUUUU